RNAcentral lists this ribosomal RNA (253 nucleotides) under uncultured bacterium. RNAcentral describes it as "partial 16S ribosomal RNA". It matches the Rfam family "Bacterial small subunit ribosomal RNA", at positions 524 to 776 of the family's 1533-position model. The record is from RNAcentral.
UACAGAGGUCUCAAGCGUUGUUCGGAUUCAUUGGGCGUAAAGGGUGCGUAGGCGGCGCGGUAAGUCGGGUGUGAAAUCUCGGAGCUUAACUCCGAAACUGCAUUCGAUACUGCCGUGCUUGAGGACUGGAGAGGAGACUGGAAUUCAUGGUGUAGCAGUGAAAUGCGUAGAGAUCAUGAGGAAGACCAGUGGCGAAGGCGGGUCUCUGGACAGUUACUGACACUGAGGCACGAAGGCCAGGGGAGCAAACGGG